This 510-nucleotide long non-coding RNA is filed under the name Equus caballus (horse). RNAcentral describes it as "lncRNA (ENSECAG00000045453.1)". Lineage: Eukaryota; Metazoa; Chordata; Mammalia; Perissodactyla; Equidae. The record is from RNAcentral.
UUUGGAGGAUGUGAUGGAGCGCGACCUGCAGCCUCCAAGGCAUGAUUCAUAAUCAGAACAGCUGGAAACAAGAGGUCCCUGCUGGAGUGGAAAAGCGUUGCUUCUUGGCCUUUUGGUGGUUACUAGAGAAGUACGUGACGUCCUGAAGCUCAGCUGGGCUCUCCCAUACGUUCUCAGAGGAUUGCUCAGAGGACUGCCGAGUGGCCUGCAUAACCCCAAGAGCACAUCACACUCAGCCACAGACACCCAUCUGAUCUACCCUCAGUUCCUCGUUUUGUAGAUCGGGAAGGCGAGGUCCAGACAGCCGAAACACCUCAUCAAGUGGUACCACAGAUCAGGGCAGACGCUCAAGGAAUCUUUGAUCCUUGAAUGAGUGAUCAGCUUUCACCACUAUAGCCCAGAGCUUCGAGGAGCCUAUAAGCAAAUGGGAGGCUCGUGAGUCCCCCCAGGUGCCAACAGGACUAGCGCCUGUCAGGUGGAAACCAGUGGAGCUGAUGAAUAAGAGCCCAG